GAAAAACAUCCUCGAGUGGGGACACCAUUAACUAGGUAAGUCUUGUACUUAUUUAAAAUUGAAAUGUUGGUAGAAUUUUCCAGCCUGAGAUCAGGAGCACAAAUCCCUACUCCAUCUUUGGUUAACUGCACAUCACACCAUAGAAUUACAUCGGGUACACUGGUUUCCAAUGCGAACUGAUAAGCAUAAUAGCUUGAAUCUGGAAAUAGCCCUGAAAACCCUCCACGUGCAACAACUAAAGGUGGAUUUCCGCUAAGUGUCUGCCAGCGGCUAGUAGAUCCCUGAGCAGAAACCAGAGUUACUAAUGAGUGAAGUAGCAGAAAUGCAGGCAGUAGAGACGUAAAAGCGCGUGGACUAGACAUUGCAGCCGGAGAAUCUCGCCGGCAACUGAUCGACG
Molecule: unclassified non-coding RNA, 397 nt
Filed under: Hevea brasiliensis (rubber tree)
Lineage: Eukaryota; Viridiplantae; Streptophyta; Magnoliopsida; Malpighiales; Euphorbiaceae
Source: RNAcentral